This 490-nucleotide ribosomal RNA is filed under the name uncultured bacterium. RNAcentral describes it as "bacterial SSU rRNA". It matches the Rfam family "Bacterial small subunit ribosomal RNA", at positions 355 to 836 of the family's 1533-position model. The record is from RNAcentral.
UGGGGAAUUUUGGACAAUGGGGGCAACCCUGAUCCAGCCAUUCCGCGUGAGUGAAGAAGGCCUUCGGGUUGUAAAGCUCUUUCAGCUGGAACGAAACGGUACGCUCUAACAUAGCGUGCUAAUGACGGUACCAGCAGAAGAAGCACCGGCUAACUACGUGCCAGCAGCCGCGGUAAUACGUAGGGUGCGAGCGUUAAUCGGAAUUACUGGGCGUAAAGCGUGCGCAGGCGGAUUGUUAAGCAAGACGUGAAAUCCCCGGGCUUAACCUGGGAAUGGCGUUUUGAACUGGCAGUCUAGAGUGUGUCAGAGGGGGGUAGAAUUCCACGUGUAGCAGUGAAAUGCGUAGAGAUGUGGAGGAAUACCAAUGGCGAAGGCAGCCCCCUGGGAUAACACUGACGCUCAUGUACGAAAGCGUGGGUAGCAAACAGGAUUAGAUACCCUGGUAGUCCACGCCCUAAACGAUGUCAACUGGUUGUUGGGGGAGUGAAAU